RNAcentral lists this long non-coding RNA (218 nucleotides) under Mytilus galloprovincialis (Mediterranean mussel). Lineage: Eukaryota; Metazoa; Mollusca; Bivalvia; Mytilida; Mytilidae. The record is from RNAcentral.
UUGUGUUUUUUCAUAAAGUACUGCAUAUUUUCUUUAUCUUAUUUCACAGUUAUGAUGAGGAAGUUAAACCAUUUUGACAGACAUAAUUUUUUGUUCGGAUUUGUUCCGCGUUUUGAAAAUUAAGAGAUUUUUUCAAAGAUUCUGAACUAGAAUUUACAUGAAAUGUCUUUCACGAUCCGUUACCAGAGCUUUCACGAUCGUCUCUCAAUACUUGACCG